UACGUAGGAUGCAAGCGUUGUCCGGAUUUAUUGGGCGUAAAGAGUUCGUAGGUGGUUUGUUAAGUCUGAUGUUAAAGAUCGAGGCUCAACCUCGGGAGUGCAUUGGAUACUGGCAGACUUGAGUGCAGUAGGGGCAAGUGGAAUUUCCAGUGUAGCGGUGAAAUGCGUAGAUAUUGGAAAGAACACCAGUGGCGUAAGCGACUUGCUAGGCUGUAACUGACACUGAGGAACGAAAGCCAGGGGAGCGAAUGGG
RNAcentral lists this ribosomal RNA (253 nucleotides) under uncultured bacterium. RNAcentral's name for it is "partial 16S ribosomal RNA". It matches the Rfam family "Bacterial small subunit ribosomal RNA", at positions 524 to 776 of the family's 1533-position model. The record is from RNAcentral.